Manacus vitellinus (golden-collared manakin) is the source of this 572-nucleotide long non-coding RNA. RefSeq lists it as uncharacterized. The record is from RefSeq and is a predicted model, not a curated record. The transcript has 3 exons. NCBI's taxonomy places the organism in Eukaryota, Metazoa, Chordata, Aves, Passeriformes, Pipridae.
UCACUGACUGCCCCAAAAUGGCAGACUGUCCCAUGGUUUAUCACAAAAUGGUGGACUGCCCCCAUGACCUGUCUCAAAAUGGUGGUGACCGACUUGUGGCCUGACACAAAAUGGUGGAGUGGGCUCAUGGGCUGUCACAAAAUGGUGGACUGACCCCACACCCUUACCCAAAAUGGCGGACAGACCUCCCCCCCACCCAUGCCCUUACCCAAAAUGGCAGUAACCAACCCCACGGCCUGUCACAAAAUGGUUGAAUGACCCAUAGCCUUCCCUAAAAUGAGCAGGCUGAGAAGUGUAGUUGUGUAUUAGACCUGUUGAAGCUGGAAGACACGUCUUUACAUAAUCAGGAAAGAACAAGGAGCCAUCAUGAUCCAAAAGAGCUUCCUGUCCUCUUCUCCCCCAAAGGAAGAGACAAAAAAUAUCACUGAGGUGCUGAAAAGGAGUUCAGAGUUGAAAAGGCUGCUGACAACCUCUCAUGGUGCUCUGUUUCAGACACUGUGAUUUCAAGAGGAAGAAAAGUGGGUCCUAAACGCUACUGAUAGCUGAAAAUUUGGAGAUGAAGAACACUUCAG